Long non-coding RNA from Mytilus californianus (California mussel), 497 nucleotides. RefSeq lists it as uncharacterized. The transcript is spliced from 3 exons. Lineage: Eukaryota; Metazoa; Mollusca; Bivalvia; Mytilida; Mytilidae. The record is from RefSeq and is a predicted model, not a curated record.
AAUUAUAUGUUGUUGUUAUUGGUCUGUUUACAGGUUUGCACAAGGGAACUGUCUCACGUAUUGUGUCUGAUGUUUUGAAUUCAUUAUAUGACAAACGGGAUGAGUUUAUCAAGUGGCCGAAAAAUGUUGAUGAAACAAGAGGAUACUUUUACCGUCUAAGUGGUUUCCCAAAUGUGCUAGGGGCAAUAGAUGGUACACACAUCCGUAUCCAGGCUCCAUCAGAAGAUGAACCAUCAUUCGUGAAUAGGAAAGGGGUACAUUCUGUCAAUGUGCAGGCUGUUUGUGAUGCCAGAGGUAAAUUCACAAACAUAAAUGCAAACUGGCCAGGUAGUAGUCAUGAUUCCCACAUAUUCAGGACUUCACAAAUAAGAAUGACACCAAGCAAAGCAUGCAAGAUCAUCAUUGCUUGUGCUAUUCUUCACAAUAUUUGCAUCUUAUUAAAUGAACCAGACAUUGAAGAUGAUGGAGUAGUGAUAGACAAUGAUGGAGAUCUUGGG